CCCCCUCAGCGACAGGGCCUUCUUCUGAGGCUUUGUCUGCUGUGCUCGUCAGAAACACAUGUACUGGAGGCCCUCAUUCAGGCUCAGAUGAAAGCCGUGGAGGGCAGCAAAAGAAUCCAAAGGUUCCCGGUGAAUGGCAGCAAACCCAAGGCCUUGGAGCGCGACGUCACAGAGAUGGACCCUGCACUCCGGUUAAUGCUGCAGGAGAAGGAGAGGGCCGUGAUGACGCUGAAGGAGACUGUGGAGGAGAAGGAGAGGGCUGUGAGGACGCUGCAGGAGACUGUGGAGGUAUACUCAAAAGGCAUGGCAUACACACGCACACACAAGCUCACUCACUCACUCACUCACUCACUCACUCACUCACUCACUCACUCACGCACACGCGCGGCUUACACACACAUCCGGCAUGGGCCCCACUACUUCCUGUCUGGGACCGUAAAUACACGCAAUCAAAAGUAGUGAAAGUGAAUGUAUGUGAUUUACUACUCACACAUGCUCCUCCUCAUCUCCACCUUCUCUGUCCUCUCAUUGGUAGAUCAUCCGCUCGCAACAGCUUCUUCUACUAAAAGUAAACUCUAAAGAUCUAAGCUCUAAACAUGCCAACAGAGAGUUUACAAGGCAUUUUCCAAUAGCGAGAAAUCCAUAAAAGUUUUGCGUUUCCUGGAUUAAGGAGAUUAUGUUUUAAUUUGAUUGGAUUUAUAAAUUAACCAUGUUCCUCAAGCCUUGUAAGAUCAAAGAGACACAUAGAAGGUGUUGUUCCUCCAUAACAUCCAAGGUGUGCAGCUCCCCCAGAGGGAGUUCUGUUGUACUACAUCUAUUUUAGAUUCACCAAUCUAAAUGGGGUGACUUUGGACAUGUGAACGCACUUAAUGCGUAAUGUACGACAAUAAUGAACACAAUCCUAGAUGAGCUAGAGAGAAGAGUAGAGAUAAGAGAGAGAAGGAGGAGAAAAGAGAGGGGGAUGAGAAGAGAGAGGAGAGAUGAGAGGAUGGAGAGGAGAAGAGAGGAGAGGAUGGAGAGAGGAGAGGAGAGCUGACAAGACAAAGUCACGGUACUCACACACAUGGGGAGAAUCUUUACAUGUAGUCACUGAGACCUUUGUGUAAGUGUGUAACACAUGUUCAGUUGUUGUAUAUUGGAGAUUAAUAUACUGGUUCAUCAACUACAAACUUUUACAUUUCUUCAAUGAUUUAAAACGUUCCAUCAAUCUCAAAAUCAUCAAAAUCAUCAGGGUUUUAGAAGUAAUUUUUUUUAUUUUUUGUAUUACACUUCUUUGAUUACAGAAACAGUAGUUAUACUUAUAUUUAUACUUGUUCAACCAGCCACAGGGGAGAAGCCAGCUUGGUGAUUGGCUCCCGCAAAAACGUACCGGAAUGUA
Gadus morhua (Atlantic cod) is the source of this 1378-nucleotide long non-coding RNA. RefSeq lists it as uncharacterized. The record is from RefSeq and is a predicted model, not a curated record. The transcript is spliced from 3 exons. Lineage: Eukaryota; Metazoa; Chordata; Actinopteri; Gadiformes; Gadidae.